GAAUGUUUUUUUUUUUCAUUGGUUGUUCCGUUAAAUCUUACCCAGAUAGUGCUAUUUUCUAAUUGGCUUUUGUGUAGCCUCUUUUUUUUUUUGAUUGGCUGAUAAGUGUCAUUCUCGACUAAGAACUUGAACCGCGCUUGAUUCCUGCCCGUUGCCAUAGAGACAGCGGUGCGGACUGAUACAUUUUGGGUGCUGCGGCUUAUUAAAUAUAUGAUAAAUAGUCAAAACGUUUUUCUGCGUGAGAAAUACUAUGUGUGGCGGGAGAGCGUAAAAAAAGCCCGAAAUGCGUGAAUGUCACUCUCAAUGCGUGAUGACAGCCCUGAGAACAUUCGAGAACAUUGCAGAAAAAAGUGAUCAGAAAAGCUUCAGAACAGAUUCACCCUUGCCGCUGUUUGUGCCUUGGGUGACUCUUGCAAAAAACAUACAGUCGCCCACGGCGACGUACAAAAAAGCAGUCUUUACAACGUCUCUUCAGAGCUGUUUUAGUUUUCAUGCCCAUCGAA
This is a long non-coding RNA of Tachysurus fulvidraco (yellow catfish), 503 nucleotides long. RefSeq lists it as uncharacterized. The record is from RefSeq and is a predicted model, not a curated record. Lineage: Eukaryota; Metazoa; Chordata; Actinopteri; Siluriformes; Bagridae. The transcript has 2 exons.